CAGUGUCAAAGAAACUGUGUGCUCUCUAGCGACCUCUUCUCUGCUCUACUAUGAAGCAUCAAGGUUUCCAAUGAGGCAAAGCAUCGAUCCCUAACAAGCGAGUAUUUGGACGAUAAGUAUCCUCAAUACCCUUUGCUGCCUCAUGACGUUCCCAAAAGAGCACUCAAUUUUCAGGUUGCACAUAUUGUUUUGCAGAAUAACUUCAUUGAGAAAAAAGGUUGGCCCUCAUGAAAAACUUCCUUGGGCACAAAGUGUCAUUAGAAAGGGCUUCACAGGUGACACUUCACUGAAUACCAUUAAGAUAUAUUCUGGUUUGUUACUUCCAAACCAAUUAUUCAUUUGAGUGGUUUUUUUUCUUGCCUUAAUUAAAUGUUGCAUAUUUUUCAUUAUUUUAAGCACUUGAAAAGCUAUUGAAAGAUCAUGCAGGGAGAUAUGCCACUGGAGAUGAAAUUUUUCUGUCUUCAAUAUGUAGUGCAAGAUCACUUGGAGGAUUUUAAUUGGUGUUGCCAUGGAAAAUGUAAUCCGACAGCCCAUUCCAAAGCAGCUCCGCUAGGAAUGAACAAGGGAAUGAACACUAAUACAAUUGUUAAGGCCAAGAGUUUUCUUGAUGGUGACGAAGAUCAGCAUGAAAAAGAUGUGUUUGAGAAGAAUUUGAAGGCGCUUCAGAAGAUUUUUUAGUCAUUAUGCCAAGAUUAAAAGAUUGACGAUUUUCUGUUUGUUAAGCUCUUGUCG
RNA transcript from Arachis duranensis, 732 nucleotides. It is a transcript of the gene named glutathione S-transferase zeta class, with no coding region annotated. The record is from RefSeq and is a predicted model, not a curated record. The transcript is spliced from 5 exons. NCBI's taxonomy places the organism in Eukaryota, Viridiplantae, Streptophyta, Magnoliopsida, Fabales, Fabaceae.